CCUACGGGUUGCAGCAGUGGGGAAUAUUGCACAAUGGGCGCAAGCCUGAUGCAGCCAUGCCGCGUGUAUGAAGAAGGCCUUCGGGUUGUAAAGUACUUUCAGUCGGGAGGAAGGCGGUGAGCUUAAUACGCUCAUCAAUUGACGUUACCGACAGAAGAAGCACCGGCUAACUCCGUGCCAGCAGCCGCGGUAAUACGGAGGGUGCAAGCGUUAAUCGGAAUUACUGGGCGUAAAGCGCACGCAGGCGGUUGAUUGAGUCAGAUGUGAAAUCCCCGGGCUUAACCCGGGAAUUGCAUCUGAUACUGGUCAGCUAGAGUCUUGUAGAGGGGGGUAGAAUUCCAUGUGUAGCGGUGAAAUGCGUAGAGAUGUGGAGGAAUACCGGUGGCGAAGGCGGCCCCCUGGACAAGGACUGACGCUCAGGUGCGAAAGCGUGGGGAGCAAACAGGAUUAGAUACCCCCGUAGUC
Molecule: ribosomal RNA, 465 nt
Filed under: uncultured bacterium
Lineage: Bacteria
Description: bacterial SSU rRNA
Rfam family: Bacterial small subunit ribosomal RNA
Source: RNAcentral